AUACGUAGGUGGCAAGCGUUGUCCGGAAUUAUUGGGCGUAAAGCGCAUGUAGGCGGUGCCUUAAGUCUGUCGUGAAACUGCGGGGCCUAACCCCGUAUGGCGAUGGAAACUGUGGCACUUGAGUGCAGGAGAGGAAAGGGGAACUCCCAGUGUAGCGGUGAAAUGCGUAGAUAUUGGGAAGAACACCGGUGGCAAAGGCGCCUUUCUGGACUGUGUCUGACGCUGAGAUGCGAAAGCCAGGGUAGCGAACGGGAUUAGAUACCCCGGUAGUCCUGGCCGUAAACGAUGGGUACUAGGUGUGGGAGGUAUCGACCCCUUCCGUGCCGGAGUUAACGCAAUAAGUACCCCGCCUGGGGAGUACGGCCGCAAGGCUUAAACUCAAAUGAAUUGACGGGG
This 396-nucleotide ribosomal RNA is filed under the name uncultured bacterium. RNAcentral's name for it is "partial 16S ribosomal RNA". It matches the Rfam family "Bacterial small subunit ribosomal RNA", at positions 523 to 918 of the family's 1533-position model. The record is from RNAcentral.